Long non-coding RNA from Trifolium pratense (red clover), 280 nucleotides. RefSeq lists it as uncharacterized. Lineage: Eukaryota; Viridiplantae; Streptophyta; Magnoliopsida; Fabales; Fabaceae. The transcript is spliced from 3 exons. The record is from RefSeq and is a predicted model, not a curated record.
GUAUAUAUAUUCAUCUACUCUUUACACCUCGAAAAUAACAAGACUAUAACUAUAUUUUCACCCACGUAGAAGAAGGUUGACAAUGAAAUUAAAGGGAUGGAAAUAAAUUCUACUGGUCCAUAAUGUGGCACAAAAAAUUAGAUGCUCCCUUCAAAAAGUUUGCUUCCUUGCGGGAUGAGUGGGCCCUAACGAAUUGCUACAUCAGUCAAGGUCCGAUUCAAUUUACAGGCCCAGGAUCUGAUGCAAUUAGUCACACUCUACUCUUGGAGCUUGGUGUGCA